This 468-nucleotide ribosomal RNA is filed under the name uncultured bacterium. RNAcentral's name for it is "partial 16S ribosomal RNA". It matches the Rfam family "Bacterial small subunit ribosomal RNA", at positions 28 to 507 of the family's 1533-position model. The record is from RNAcentral.
GACGAACGCUGGCGGCGUGCUUAACACAUGCAAGUCGAACGGAAAGGCCCUGCUUUUGUGGGGUGCUCGAGUGGCGAACGGGUGAGUAACACGUGAGUAACCUGCCCUUGACUUUGGGAUAACUUCAGGAAACUGGGGCUCAUACCGGAUAGGAGCUCCUGCUGCAUGGUGGGGGUUGGAAAGUUUCGGCGGUUGGGGAUGGACUCGCGGCUUAUCAGCUUGUUGGUGGGGUAGUGGCUUACCAAGGCUUUGACGGGUAGCCGGCCUGAGAGGGUGACCAGCCACAUUGGGACUGAGAUACGGCCCAGACUCGUACGGGAGGCAGCAGUGGGGAAUAUUGCACAAUGGGCGGAAGCCUGAUGCAGCAACGCCGCGUGCGGGAUGACGGCCUUCGGGUUGUAAACCGCUUUCGCCUGUGACGAAGCGUGAGUGACGGUAAUGGGUAAAGAAGCACCGGCUAACUACGUG